This is a long non-coding RNA of Drosophila obscura, 1221 nucleotides long. RefSeq lists it as uncharacterized. The record is from RefSeq and is a predicted model, not a curated record. The transcript is spliced from 2 exons. Lineage: Eukaryota; Metazoa; Arthropoda; Insecta; Diptera; Drosophilidae.
UGUGUCGAAACUCAUUUUUCAUGCUCUAAUUGAAUAUUCCUCCUAACUAACUAACUUAUAAUAUUACUAGUCUAUUCCGUAACUGGAACGCGAGCUGGCACUCGUCUUGUCUAGUACAUAUUUUACAGCCUCGGACCCCCGUCCACGAACCCUUGCCUUGCGUUCCGACUGCAACCUCGUUUGAACCUUAACAAAUAGCGACGAAAAUUGCAACAAAUGUGUUACGAAUGGUUCGUGAUCGUGGCAUGACAGAAUGUCGCCUGCAACAACAACUGAAACAACAAGAGGCUCUUGUUGUUGCAGGCACAAGUACUCGUACAGCGAACUGAACCAGAGAAUUGUAGACCAAUGAGGAAAUCGUUACCUUGGCUUAAACCACUUAAACAUCACGAGUUGAACUCUUAACAGCCUGGGACUGUGACUGAGGCUGGGAGAAGACUUUCGGGGCUGCUGGCUGAUGAUGUUGAUGAGGAGGAGACGAAGACGACGACGACGACUACGACAAAGAAGUUGACAACAGCAGCAGCAGAAACAACAACGAGAUUAGCCGCGUUGAUGAGAGAAGAGAAACAGAGAGAGAGAGAGAGAGAGAGAGAUGGAGACGGAGAGUGGUAGCCAUGGGCUCCUGAAGUUGCUUGUUUCUCCAUGGUAUCUCUCUGCCCUGGUCUGGCCGAUUACAACGUAACCAAGUGUUUUUGCUGCUGUUGUUGCCUGUUGUUGGAGCUGAUGCAAUAAAUCGCCGACAUUGCUGAAAGUUGUUGCAGAGAUUGUGAUAAAAGUAAAUCGUUGCAGCAGCACUGAGACACGAUCAGGCAGGCCCUCGAGCAAGGAAGGAGGAGCACACAAGGACCAGUCCAGACCCAGACCCAGAUCAUCGAUAUCAAAUUACUUCGCAUUCAAAUGCUGCCAGAACACAGUCUGUUCAGUCCUUGUCCCACAUAUGAGUACUCCCUCUCGACUCUGCUUAUCAAUUUCAUUUGGCCAACUCUCCGGGAGAGCACGUAGAAAAGUUAACACACACACACACACAUGGACGGGAAAACUCGUCCGAACAGUCGUGUUGGAAGUCGCAAGGGUGAGGGGAAGGAAAAGUUGUGCCAACCACUUGGAAUUUUUGGGCAAAAGCGUUACGUUGGCGUAUUCUAAACUUUGGCGCUACUUUUUGCCCAUGAAGCUAAAGUCAUUAUCAUUAAAGACAUACCAUACUUUUCUGCCAAAAAA